UACGUAGGGUGCAAGCGUUGUCCGGAAUUAUUGGGCGUAAAGAGCUCGUAGGCGGCUUGUCGCGUCGGCUGUGAAAACCUGGGGCUCAACCCCGGGCCUGCAGCCGAUACGGGCGAGCUAGAAUUCGGUAGGGGAGACUGGAAUUCCUGGUGUAGCGGUGAAAUGCGCAGAUAUCAGGAAGAACACCCGUGGCUAAGGCGGCCCUCUAGUACGGUACUGACGCUGAGACGCGAAAGCGUGGGGAGCGAACAGG
Molecule: ribosomal RNA, 253 nt
Filed under: uncultured bacterium
Lineage: Bacteria
Description: partial 16S ribosomal RNA
Rfam family: Bacterial small subunit ribosomal RNA
Source: RNAcentral